UGUUGCCAGCCUGUAUGGCUCUAGUUGGUCUCCUUAGAAGUUUAUGGGAGCAUUGCCAUUACAUACUGAUGAAAGCAGAGUUGUAUCCUUUUUAUUUUUGCUGAUAUGUGCUUGGUAAAAAUCUUUGUCCUUCCUUUCACAGGUGAUAGGUGAUACUCAUAGAUGACUAGCAGGAAUAUGCAAGCGUUUCUUAUGAAAGGCAGAUGGAUUCAGAAUCGUGAACAAGCACUUUCAAAGGGUUAAUUGAAAUUGUGAUCUUCUGCAAUGGUGAAGAAACAAGGGGUGUGCAAACUUUUAUGGGAGAGGCUGCAAGAUGAACACCCUGACAGAGUGUUAGAGUUAGGGAGUGACACGGAGGAACUGACCUGCACACGGAGGGAGUUUUCCAGGCUGAAAUUCUGAUGCUCAAGGAAGCGUGAACAUCAGAGAUGCUGCUAGGUAAGUCUGACACAAAUUAUCCAGUCACACACACUACUCAGAAAUGUCUCAUUUCCUUUCUGGCUUUCACUGGGAAAAUAAGAACUAUGCAUCUUA
RNAcentral lists this long non-coding RNA (534 nucleotides) under Anas platyrhynchos platyrhynchos (common mallard). Its description in RNAcentral is "lncRNA (ENSAPLG00000016837.1)". The record is from RNAcentral. Lineage: Eukaryota; Metazoa; Chordata; Aves; Anseriformes; Anatidae.